RNAcentral lists this non-coding RNA (126 nucleotides) under Prolemur simus (greater bamboo lemur). Its description in RNAcentral is "U4atac minor spliceosomal RNA (ENSPSMG00000017557.1)". It matches the Rfam family "U4atac minor spliceosomal RNA". From Rfam's summary of the family: U4atac is an essential component of the minor U12-type spliceosome complex which is required for removal of the rarer class of eukaryotic introns (AT-AC, U12-type). These interacting stem loops have been shown to be required for in vivo splicing. The record is from Rfam by way of RNAcentral. Lineage: Eukaryota; Metazoa; Chordata; Mammalia; Primates; Lemuridae.
ACCAUCCUUUUCUUGGGGUAGUGCUACUGUCCAAUGAACAGGUGGUGAGGACAGUACUGGUAAUGCCUACACAACACACCCGCAUCAACUAGAGCUAUGCUUUACUUUGGUGCAAUUUUUGGAAAA